Molecule: ribosomal RNA, 302 nt
Filed under: uncultured Glomus
Lineage: Eukaryota; Fungi; Glomeromycota; Glomeromycetes; Glomerales; Glomeraceae
Description: SSU rRNA
Rfam family: Eukaryotic small subunit ribosomal RNA
Source: RNAcentral
AGCAGCCGCGGUAAUUCCAGCUCCAAUAGCGUAUAUUAAAGUUGCUGCAGUUGAAAAGCUCGUAGUUGAAUUUCGGGAUCAUCAUGUCGGUCGUGCCUCGGUACGUACUGGCAUUGUUGGUUUCUACCUUCUGACGAACCAUGAUGUCAUUUAUUUGGUGUCGUGGGAAAUCAGGACUGUUACUUUGAAAAAUUAGAGUGUUUAAAGCAGGCUCACGCUUGAAUACAUUAGCAUGGAAUAAUGAAAUAGGACGUUUGAUUCUAUUUUGUUGGUUUCUAGGAUCGACGUAAUGAUUAAUAGGG